This is a non-coding RNA of Equus caballus (horse), 2498 nucleotides long. The record is from RefSeq and is a predicted model, not a curated record. Lineage: Eukaryota; Metazoa; Chordata; Mammalia; Perissodactyla; Equidae.
GGAUGACAGGGAGAGUCAGUCAGGGGCCUUGGCUUCCAGCCUGGGGACAGAGAGGCCCCUACCUCGGCCAGCUCCUCGGGCCACAGGCCUCUCUGACAAAGGCGACUACAAGAGCCAGCCCGAGCAGAUGUUCCCAGGGGCAGACGAAAAGUCACACGUAUUUUUUAAGCCAUAGUUAAAUGCAGGUAUUUAACUGAAGUAGAACCGAAUAAAAUGGACCCCUCAGUUCCAGUGCUCCACAACCACGCACGGCUGGGGGCUCCUGCGGACGACACAGAGCACGUCCAUCCCCGGAGCAGGGCUGCGCUGGGGCCAUCUACUCCCAGCUGUCCCGUCUAGCCUAAUUCAAACCUCAGCGACUGAGGGGGGGCGAGGGAUCUUCUCCCAGCAGCCCCUCCUCCUACGCCCUCCUGGCCACGUCUCUCUCACCAGCUUGAGUCCUCAGAGCUCCCUGAGAACCCACCCUCCGUCAGAGCACGUACCAGCCAGGAACUCCCCGGUAGCCCGCCGUCCUGCAGACCCCCAGCACCGGGCCAGCUGGCGGGGCGCCGCUGACGCCCAGAUGCAGGCCAGAGGGAAGGGGCUGUCUGGGGUCCCGGGGAGUUGGACACACAGAGGAUGGCUGGUUCUCCUGCCUGGUCUGGGACCUCAGCUAUCACACUUUGUGGACACAGCUGGUGGCUUCCUCUGGGCAGCCCGCAGGGGAGGGAGGCCACCCCUACUGCGCUCGCUCAGGAUGCCCGUCAUUCGGCUGCCCGGCAGGCCCCUCCAGGCCUCGGUGGUGCUGCAGGAGCAGCAGGAGCAGCAUGGGGGCAGGGAGAAGAGAAGGGCCCCAGCGAGGCAGAGGGAAACAGCACAACUGCCCCCCUCCGUGCCCUUUCUGAUUGGCCACAUCCUCUGAGUGGGCUGGGUGUGGCAUCCCUAUUAUUCUGUGCAGAGCUGGAAUGUGGAAACCAGAUCCUGGCCCCGUGGUGUGGGGGGGUGGGGGUGGGGGUGUACAUUCCACAGAAGGGAAGGGGGCUGGACAGCAGACCUGUCAGGCAGGUCUGCCGUGGGGAGGGGGCCUGCUCGCCCCAGCCCCAGGCUCCAGAACCCCUGCUGCCUCCACUCCUCCCCCUGCCUUAAACUAGAGAAUUCACUUCAAAGCUAAAAUCUGACAUUUUAGUCAGAGCACUAGCUCUGACAAGCCGGUACAGGCCAAACAAUGUCCCUCGAGCACAGAUGGCAUGGGAAGGCCACUCGACGUCACACAUGCCCAGAUGAGAAAAGACAAAAGAACAGGAGGGGAACCUUCCUGUUAAAUGGAAACUAACACACAGGACUUGCAAGAAAAUACGGCCCGAGGGCUGCCAACCUGAGCCGCCUGACCCUCCUGGCCUGCUCGCCCUCCCUGGCCCGCACCUCCGGCCCUCCCAGUCCAGCUGCAGGGAGCCGCUGGGACCUGCAAUGCCGCCUCUUCCUGCCCCAGCGUCUGGGGGCCUCCCCAGGAGUGGAGGGGGCAAUCUGAGAGGAUGGUUCCUGAGGCCCUGUCACAGCCAGUACGGUCAGAGCUCCAACAUGUGCACGGGCACACGGAGGCCAGCAAAAGAGGAUGCUCCUGGCACCAGUAUCGGGAAGAGAGAAGUCUGGAAACAUCCUGAGGGUCCAUCGGUAGGGCCGGUUAGGGCAAGUACCCAGGAGACUGCCGUUCAACUUCACAAGAGCCUGCCAAACCCUUCCAGAGCGGAGCACCGUCUGCACGCCCAUCGGUAACGCACAAGAGUUCCGGCUGCUCCACAUCCUCCCGCUACAGGGUAUUCUUUGUUUUUUAAUUUAGACGUUCUAAGAGGUGUGUCACCGGGGGUACCUCAUCCAGGCUUUAGUUCUCAUUUCCCUAAUGGUAGCAGUGACGGUGAACAUCUCUUCACGUGCUUAUGUGCCAUCCGAGUUGGCUUAUUUGCCAACUGCUGAGUUUUUUAUAUACUUAGGAGAAGAAGUCCUUUGUUGGAUAUGUGAUUUGCAAAUUUUUUCCCCAGUCUGUAGCUUGUCAUUUCAUUUGCUUAAUAGUGCCUUUUGCAUAGCAAAAGUUUUUAGUUUUGACAAAAUCCAUUGUACCAUUUUCUUCCUUUCAGGGUUCAUGCUUUUGGUGUCACGUCUAAGAACUCUGUUCAGGUCACAGAGAUCUUCUCCUACGUUUGCUUCUGAUAGUUUUACAUUUUACAUUUAGGUCUGUGAUCCAUUUUGAGUUAAUUUAUGUAUAAAGUAGGUUUAGGUAAAAUUUUUUUUUUUUGCACAUGGAUACCCAAUUGUUCCAACACCACUCGUUGAGAAGACUAUCCUUUCUACAUUGAAUUUCUUCUGCACCCUUGUCACAAAUGAACUGAUCAUACUCGCGUGGGUCUAUUUCUGGACUCUAUUCUCUUCCAUUGAUCUACGUGUCUGUCCCUCCACCAAUUCCAUGCUCUUGGUUACUGUAGCUUUAUAGUGAGUAUUAAAAUCGAGUAGUGUGAUGCCUCUAA